Molecule: ribosomal RNA, 253 nt
Filed under: uncultured bacterium
Lineage: Bacteria
Description: partial 16S ribosomal RNA
Rfam family: Archaeal small subunit ribosomal RNA
Source: RNAcentral
UACCAGCACCCCGAGUGGUCGGGACGAUUAUUGGGCCUAAAGCAUCCGUAGCCGGUUCUACAAGUCUUCCGUUAAAUCCACCUGCUCAACAGAUGGGCUACGGAGGAUACUAUAGAGCUAGGAGGCGGGAGAGGCAAGCGGUACUUAGUGGGUAGGGGUAAAAUCCGUUGAUCCAUUGAAGACCACCAGUGGCGAAGGCGGCUUGCCAGAACGCACUCGACGGUGAGGGAUGAAAGCUGGGGGAGCAAACCGG